RNAcentral lists this ribosomal RNA (465 nucleotides) under uncultured bacterium. RNAcentral's name for it is "partial 16S ribosomal RNA". It matches the Rfam family "Bacterial small subunit ribosomal RNA", at positions 29 to 507 of the family's 1533-position model. The record is from RNAcentral.
AUGAACGCUGGCGGCGUGCUUAACCCCUGCAAGUCGCACGGAAAGGCUCCUGCUUGCAGGGGUACUCGAGUGGCGAACGGGUGAGUAACACGUGGGUGAUCUGCCCUGCACUUCGGGAUAAGCCUGGGAAACUGGGUCUAAUACCGGAUAGGACGAUGGUUUGGAUGCCAUUGUGGAAAGUUUUUCGGUGUGGGAUGAGCUCGCGGCCUAUCAGCUUGUUGGUGGGGUAAUGGCCUACCAAGGCGUCGACGGGUAGCCGGCCUGAGAGGGUGUACGGCCACAUUGGGACUGAGAUACGGCCCAGACUCCUACGGGAGGCAGCAGUGGGGAAUAUUGCACAAUGGGCGCAAGCCUGAUGCAGCGACGCCGCGUGGGGGAGGACGGCCUUCGGGUUGUAAACUCCUUUCGCUAGGGACGAAGCGUUUUGUGACGGUACCUGGAGAAGAAGCACCGGCUAACUACGUG